Molecule: ribosomal RNA, 497 nt
Filed under: uncultured bacterium
Lineage: Bacteria
Description: partial 16S ribosomal RNA
Rfam family: Bacterial small subunit ribosomal RNA
Source: RNAcentral
GAUGAACGCUGGCGGCGUGCCUAAUACAUGCAAGUCGAGCGAACAGACGAGGAUCUUGCUCCUCUGACGUUAGCGGCGGACGGGUGAGUAACACGUGGAUAACCUACCUAUAAGACUGGGAUAACUUCGGGAAACCGGAGCUAAUACCGGAUAAUAUAUUGAACCGCAUGGUUCAAUAGUGAAAGACGGUUUUGCUGGCACUUAUAGAUGGAUCCGCGCCGCAUUAGCUAGUUGGUAAGGUAACGGCUUACCAAGGCAACGAUGCGUAGCCGACCUGAGAGGGUGAUCGGCCACACUGGAACUGAGACACGGUCCAGACUCCUACGGGAGGCAGCAGUAGGGAAUCUUCCGCAAUGGGCGAAAGCCUGACGGAGCAACGCCGCGUGAGUGAUGAAGGUCUUCGGAUCGUAAAACUCUGUUAUUAGGGAAGAAUAAAUGUGUAAGUAACUAUGCACGUCUUGACGGUACCUAAUCAGAAAGCCACGGCUAACUACGUG